UACGUAGGUGGCAAGCGUUGUCCGGAAUCAUUGGGCGUAAAGCGCGUGUAGGCGGCUUGGUAAGUCCGCUCUGAAAGCCCGGGGCUCAACCCCGGGAGGCGGGUGGAUACUGUCAAGCUCGAGUCCGGAAGAGGCGAGUGGAAUUCCUGGUGUAGCGGUGAAAUGCGCAGAUAUCAGGAGGAACACCAAUGGCGAAGGCAGCUCGCUGGGACGUGACUGACGCUGAGACGCGAAAGCGUGGGGAGCAAACAGG
This 253-nucleotide ribosomal RNA is filed under the name uncultured bacterium. RNAcentral's name for it is "partial 16S ribosomal RNA". It matches the Rfam family "Bacterial small subunit ribosomal RNA", at positions 524 to 776 of the family's 1533-position model. The record is from RNAcentral.